ACAAAAAAAUAGGAAAACAAAUUUAAAAGCGAGGAAGAAACAUAAAAUUUAGAAAACCUAAAACAAGAUUUAAAAAGAAAGACCCGAAAAAACCUAGUGAAAACCUAGAAAAGAAAUAGAAAAACCAAAGAAAAUCAUAGAAAGAAAGGAAAUGAAAAACAGUGAAAACUAAGAAAAGAAAUGAAGCAAACAUAUGAGAAAG
This 202-nucleotide long non-coding RNA is filed under the name Hordeum vulgare. RNAcentral's name for it is "long non-coding RNA (HVUL_LNC005070)". The record is from RNAcentral. Lineage: Eukaryota; Viridiplantae; Streptophyta; Magnoliopsida; Poales; Poaceae.